RNAcentral lists this ribosomal RNA (747 nucleotides) under Stenotrophomonas maltophilia. RNAcentral describes it as "partial 23S ribosomal RNA". It matches the Rfam family "Bacterial large subunit ribosomal RNA", at positions 2182 to 2925 of the family's 2925-position model. RNAcentral also lists the same sequence under 2 other names. The record is from RNAcentral. Lineage: Bacteria; Pseudomonadati; Pseudomonadota; Gammaproteobacteria; Lysobacterales; Lysobacteraceae.
GGAGCCAUCCUUGAAAUACCACCCUGUCGUGCUUGACGUUCUAACCUGGGCCCAUUAUCUGGGUCGGGGACCGUGUAUGGUGGGUAGUUUGACUGGGGCGGUCUCCUCCUAAAGAGUAACGGAGGAGCUCGAAGGUACGCUCAGCGCGGUCGGACAUCGCGCACUGUGUGCAAAGGCAUAAGCGUGCUUGACUGCAAGAUCGACGGAUCAAGCAGGUAGGAAACUAGGACUUAGUGAUCCGGUGGUUCUGUAUGGAAGGGCCAUCGCUCAACGGAUAAAAGGUACUCCGGGGAUAACAGGCUGAUACCGCCCAAGAGUUCAUAUCGACGGCGGUGUUUGGCACCUCGAUGUCGGCUCAUCACAUCCUGGGGCUGUAGUCGGUCCCAAGGGUAUGGCUGUUCGCCAUUUAAAGUGGUACGCGAGCUGGGUUCAGAACGUCGUGAGACAGUUCGGUCCCUAUCUGCCAUGGGCGUUGGAGAUUUGAGAGGGGCUGCUCCUAGUACGAGAGGACCGGAGUGGACGAACCUCUGGUGUUCCGGUUGUCACGCCAGUGGCAUUGCCGGGUAGCUAUGUUCGGAAGCGAUAACCGCUGAAAGCAUCUAAGCGGGAAGCGCGCCUCAAGAUGAGAUCUCCCGGGGCACAAGCCCCCUGAAGGAACCAUGUAGACUACGUGGUUGAUAGGUCAGGUGUGUAAGUACAGCAAUGUAUUGAGCUAACUGAUACUAAUGAUCCGUGCGGCUUGACCAU